This 490-nucleotide ribosomal RNA is filed under the name uncultured bacterium. RNAcentral describes it as "partial 16S ribosomal RNA". It matches the Rfam family "Bacterial small subunit ribosomal RNA", at positions 30 to 507 of the family's 1533-position model. The record is from RNAcentral.
UGAACGCUGGCGGUAGGCCUAACACAUGCAAAUCGAACGGCAGCACAGUAAGAGCUUGCUCUUACGGGUGGCGAGUGGCGGACGGGUGAGGAAUACAUCGGAAUCUACUUUUUCGUGGGGGAUAACGUAGGGAAACUUACGCUAAUACCGCAUACGACCUACGGGUGAAAGCAGGGGAUCUUCGGACCUUGCGCGAUUGAAUGAGCCGAUGUCGGAUUAGCUAGUUGGCGGGGUAAAGGCCCACCAAGGCGACGAUCCGUAGCUGGUCUGAGAGGAUGAUCAGCCACACUGGAACUGAGACACGGUCCAGACUCCUACGGGAGGCAGCAGUGGGGAAUAUUGGACAAUGGGCGCGAGCCUGAUCCAGCCAUACCGCGUGGGUGAAGAAGGCCUUCGGGUUGUAAAGCCCUUUUGUUGGGAAAGAAAAGCAGCAGGUUAAUACCCCGCUGUUCUGACGGUACCCAAAGAAUAAGCACCGGCUAACUUCGUG